Molecule: ribosomal RNA, 446 nt
Filed under: uncultured bacterium
Lineage: Bacteria
Description: partial 16S ribosomal RNA
Rfam family: Bacterial small subunit ribosomal RNA
Source: RNAcentral
CCUACGGGUGGCUGCAGUCGAGAAUCAUUCACAAUGGGGGAAACCCUGAUGGUGCGACGCCGCGUGGGGGAAUGAAGGUCUUCGGAUUGUAAACCCCUUUCAUGUGGGAGCAAAUUAAAAAGAUAGUACCACAAGAGGAAGAGACGGCUAACUCUGUGCCAGCAGCCGCGGUAAUACAGAGGUCUCAAGCGUUGUUCGGAACCACUGGGCGUAAGGCGUUCGUAAGCUGUUGCGUAAGUCGUGUGUGAAAGGCGCGGGCUCAACCCGCGGACGGCACAUGAUACUGCGAGACUAGAGUAAUGGAGGGGGAACCGGAAUUCUCGGUGUAGCAGUGAAAUGCGUAGAUAUCGAGAGGAACACUCGUGGCGAAGGCGGGUUCCUGGACAUUAACUGACGCUGAGGCACGAAGGCCAGGGGAGCGAAAGGGAUUAGAUACCCUUGUAGUC